Molecule: long non-coding RNA, 266 nt
Organism: Bufo bufo (common toad)
Lineage: Eukaryota; Metazoa; Chordata; Amphibia; Anura; Bufonidae
Exons: 3
Source: RefSeq, a predicted model, not a curated record
AUCUGACACCUUGGGUGGAGCUGGUCCGCUUGGGGAUAAGGUAAAGGAGCAUAGUGACUAAUUUGGGGGUGAGGGGAGGAUGGUGGGACAAUGGGGAGCAAACUUGUGACAACCUUGGGGGGUGGGAGAGAAUGGUAUGCCUGCUGUUUAGAAAUGUGGGAAGAUGGGGAGGAAGCUUUUGACUAUUUUGGGGGGGUGGGGGUGGAUGGUUAGCGUGCAUGUGAUUGCUGGGGAAGGGGGAAGAUGGUGAACCUGUUUCUGAUUGC